UUAACACAUGCAAGUCGAACGAUGAAGACCGUGCUUGCACGGUUGGAUUAGUGGCGAACGGGUGAGUAUCACGUGAGUAACCUUCCCUUGACUCUGGGAUAAGCCCGGGAAACUGGGUCUAAUACCGGAUACGACCAGUCCUCGCAUGGGGUGCUGGUGGAAAGAUUUAUCGGUCUUGGAUGGACUCGCGGCCUAUCAGCUUGUUGGUGAGGUAAUGGCUCACCAAGGCGAUGACGGGUAGCCGGCCUGAGAGGGUGACCGGCCACACUGGGACUGAGACACGGCCCAGACUCCUACGGGAGGCAGCAGUGGGGAAUAUUGCACAAUGGGCGAAAGCCUGAUGCAGCGACGCCGCGUGCGGGAUGACGGCCUUCGGGUUGUAAACCGCUUUCAGCAGGGAAGAAGCGAAAGUGACGGUACCUGCAGAAGAAGCGCCGGCUAACUACGUGCCAGCAGCCGCGGUAAUACGUAGGGCGCGAGCGUUAUCCGGAAUUAUUGGGCGUAAAGAGCUCGUAGGCGGUUUGUCACGUCUGCUGUGAAAGCCCGAGGCUCAACCUCGGGUGUGCAGUGGGUACGGGCAGACUAGAGUGCAGUAGGGGA
Molecule: ribosomal RNA, 600 nt
Filed under: Nesterenkonia sp. YIM C731
Lineage: Bacteria; Bacillati; Actinomycetota; Actinomycetes; Micrococcales; Micrococcaceae
Description: bacterial SSU rRNA
Rfam family: Bacterial small subunit ribosomal RNA
Source: RNAcentral